This 143-nucleotide microRNA precursor is filed under the name Gossypium hirsutum (cotton). RNAcentral's name for it is "MIR7502 microRNA precursor family". It matches the Rfam family "MIR7502 microRNA precursor family". The record is from Rfam by way of RNAcentral. Lineage: Eukaryota; Viridiplantae; Streptophyta; Magnoliopsida; Malvales; Malvaceae.
UGUUAAGAUUUUCACUAUUUCAACUGUUAAAAAUUGACAUGCCUGACGAAAUAAUUAGAUAGUUACAUGUGGCUUGCCACUUGUACCUCAUACUAACAUACAAAGACUAAUUUUAACAAAAUAAAUAGAUAAAUUUUUUAACA